Molecule: ribosomal RNA, 461 nt
Filed under: uncultured bacterium
Lineage: Bacteria
Description: bacterial SSU rRNA
Rfam family: Bacterial small subunit ribosomal RNA
Source: RNAcentral
CGGCGUGCCUAACACAUGCAAGUCGAGCGAGGAGAUCCUUCGGGAUGAUCCUAGCGGCGGACGGGUGAGUAACACGUGGGCAACCUGCCUCAUAGAGAGGAAUAGCCUUCCGAAAGGGAGAUUAAUACCUCAUAACAUUGCAGUUUCGCAUGGAACAGCAAUUAAAGGAGUAAUCCGCUAUGAGAUGGGCCCGCGGCGCAUUAGCUAGUUGGUGAGGUAACGGCUCACCAAGGCGACGAUGCGUAGCCGACCUGAGAGGGUGAUCGGCCACAUUGGGACUGAGACACGGCCCAGACUCCUACGGGAGGCAGCAGUGGGGAAUAUUGCACAAUGGGGGAAACCCUGAUGCAAGCAACGCCGCGUGAGUGAUGACGGCCUUCGGGUUGUAAAGCUCUGUCUUCAGGGACGAUAAUGACGGUACCUGAGGAGGAAGCCACGGCUAACUACGUGCCAGCAGCCGC